AACGCAAGUUGCGCCCGAAGCCAUUAGGCCGAGGGCACGCCUGCCUGGGUGUCACACACUGUUACCCCCACGCAAAGGUCCGCUGUCGGCCCGUGCGUGGGGUGUAUGCUGACCUCCCGCGAGCGGUGUCCCGUGGCUGGUUGAAAAUCGAGUUCACGGUCGGGUGCGCCGUGAUAAAAUGGUGGACGGGCAACGCCCGAGGCCGAUCACGCGCGAUCCCUUCCGGUGAGACCCUUGGACCCUGCGGCGUCUUCGGAUGCUCUUAGCGAGACCUCAGGUCAGGCGGGGCUACCCGCUGAGUUUAA
RNAcentral lists this unclassified non-coding RNA (305 nucleotides) under uncultured soil eukaryote. RNAcentral describes it as "sequence contains 5.8S rRNA gene, ITS2, 28S rRNA gene". The record is from RNAcentral.